GCAGUCGAGCGGACAGAUGGGAGCUUGCUCCCUGAUGUCAGCGGCGGACGGGUGAGUAACACGUGGGUAACCUGCCUGUAAGACUGGGAUAACUCCGGGAAACCGGGGCUAAUACCGGAUGCUUGAUUGAACCGCAUGGUUCAAUUAUAAAAGGUGGCUUUUAGCUACCACUUACAGAUGGACCCGCGGCGCAUUAGCUAGUUGGUGAGGUAACGGCUCACCAAGGCAACGAUGCGUAGCCGACCUGAGAGGGUGAUCGGCCACACUGGGACUGAGACACGGCCCAGACUCCUACGGGAGGCAGCAGUAGGGAAUCUUCCGCAAUGGACGAAAGUCUGACGGAGCAACGCCGCGUGAGUGAUGAAGGUUUUCGGAUCGUAAAACUCUGUUGUUAGGGAAGAACAAGUACCGUUCGAAUAGGGCGGUACCUUGACGGUACCUAACCAGAAAGCCACGGCUAACUACGUGCCAGCAGCCGCGGUAAUACGUAGGUGGCAAGCGUUGUCCGGAAUUAUUGGGCGUAAAGCGCGCGCAGGCGGUUUCUUAAGUCUGAUGUGAAAGCCCCCGGCUCAACCGGGGAGGGUCAUUGGAAACUGGGGAACUUGAGUGCAGAAGAGGAGAGUGGAAUUCCACGUGUAGCGGUGAAAUGCGUAGAGAUGUGGAGGAACACCAGUGGCGAAGGCGACUCUCUGGUCUGUAACUGACGCUGAGGCGCGAAAGCGUGCGGAGCGAACAGGAUUAGAUACCCUGGUAGUCCACGCCGUAAACGAUGAGUGCUAAGUGUUAGAGGGUUUCCGCCCUUUAGUGCUGCAGCAAACGCAUUAAGCACUCCGCC
RNAcentral lists this ribosomal RNA (835 nucleotides) under Bacillus aerius. Its description in RNAcentral is "bacterial SSU rRNA". It matches the Rfam family "Bacterial small subunit ribosomal RNA", at positions 57 to 873 of the family's 1533-position model. The record is from RNAcentral. Lineage: Bacteria; Bacillati; Bacillota; Bacilli; Caryophanales; Bacillaceae.